UACAGAGGUCUCAAGCGUUGUUCGGAUUCAUUGGGCGUAAAGGGUGCGUAGGUGGCGCGCUAAGUCAGGUGUGAAAUUUCGGAGCUUAACUCCGAAACUGCAUUUGAUACUGCCGUGCUUGAGGACUGGAGAGGAGACUGGAAUUUACGGUGUAGCGGUGAAAUGCGUAGAUAUCGUAAGGAAGACCAGUGGCGAAGGCGGGUCUCUGGACAGUUCCUGACGCUGAGGCACGAAGGCCAGGGGAGCAAACGGG
RNAcentral lists this ribosomal RNA (253 nucleotides) under uncultured bacterium. RNAcentral describes it as "partial 16S ribosomal RNA". It matches the Rfam family "Bacterial small subunit ribosomal RNA", at positions 524 to 776 of the family's 1533-position model. The record is from RNAcentral.